CAAGUCGCACGAGAACGUUUCAGCUUGCUGAAACUGUAAAGUGGCGCACGGGUGAGUAACGCGUGGGUAAUCUACCUCCGAAUUGGGGAUAACAUUGCGAAAGCGAUGCUAAUACCGAAUGACAUCUCAAUAACUCCGGUCUUUGAGAUCAAAGGUGGCCUCUCCAUGGAAGCUACUGUUUGGAGAUGAGCCCGCGUACCAUUAGCUUGUUGGUAGGGUAAUGGCCUACCAAGGCAACGAUGGUUAGCUGGUCUGAGAGGAUGAUCAGCCACACUGGAACUGACACACGGUCCAGACUCCUACGGGAGGCAGCAGUGAGGAAUUUUGCGCAAUGGGGGAAACCCUGACGCAGCAACGCCGCGUGAGUGAUGAAGGCUUUCGGGUCGUAAAGCUCUGUCAAGUGAGAAGAACCUGCCCUUUGCUAAUAUCACUGGGCACUGACGGUAUCACUGAAGGAAGCACCGGCUAACUCCGUG
RNAcentral lists this ribosomal RNA (476 nucleotides) under uncultured bacterium. RNAcentral describes it as "bacterial SSU rRNA". It matches the Rfam family "Bacterial small subunit ribosomal RNA", at positions 58 to 507 of the family's 1533-position model. The record is from RNAcentral.